RNAcentral lists this non-coding RNA (22 nucleotides) under Sclerotinia sclerotiorum. Lineage: Eukaryota; Fungi; Ascomycota; Leotiomycetes; Helotiales; Sclerotiniaceae. The record is from RNAcentral.
UAUUCCUGGAUAUGAUUGGCUG